RNAcentral lists this small RNA (44 nucleotides) under Foraminifera environmental sample. Its description in RNAcentral is "partial Mitochondrion-encoded tmRNA". The record is from RNAcentral. Lineage: Eukaryota; Foraminifera.
UUGGUAUUUUUCCAUUUGAUAGAUUUAAAGGGGAUGAUAAUAAA